AGAGUUUGAUCCUGGCUCAGGAUGAACGCUAGCUACAGGCUUAACACAUGCAAGUCGAGGGGAAACGAUAUUGGAAGCUUGCUUCCGAUAGGCGUCGACCGGCGCACGGGUGAGUAACGCGUAUCCAACCUGCCCAUCACUUGGGGAUAACCUUGCGAAAGUAAGACUAAUACCCAAUGACGUCUCUAGAAGACAUCUGAAAGGGAUUAAAGAUUUAUCGGUGAUGGAUGGGGAUGCGUCUGAUUAGCUUGUUGGCGGGGUAACGGCCCACCAAGGCGACGAUCAGUAGGGGUUCUGAGAGGAAGGUCCCCCACAUUGGAACUGAGACACGGUCCAAACUCCUACGGGAGGCAGCAGUGAGGAAUAUUGGUCAAUGGGCGAGAGCCUGAACCAGCCAAGUAGCGUGCAGGAUGACGGCCCUAUGGGUUGUAAACUGCUUUUAUAAGGGAAUAAAGUGAGAGUCGUGACUCUUUUUGCAUGUACCUUAUGAAUAAGGACCGGCUAAUUCCGUGCCAGCAGCCGCGGUAAUACGGAAGGUCCGGGCGUUAUCCGGAUUUAUUGGGUUUAAAGGGAGCGUAGGCCGGAGAUUAAGCGUGUUGUGAAAUGUAGACGCUCAACGUCUGCACUGCAGCGCGAACUGGUUUCCUUGAGUACGCACAAAGUGGGCGGAAUUCGUGGUGUAGCGGUGAAAUGCUUAGAUAUCACGAAGAACUCCGAUUGCGAAGGCAGCUCACUGGAGCGCAACUGACGCUGAAGCUCGAAAGUGCGGGUAUCGAACAGGAUUAGAUACCCUGGUAGUCCGCACGGUAAACGAUGGAUGCCCGCUGUUGGUCUGAAUAGGUCAGCGGCCAAGCGAAAGCAUUAAGCAUCCCACCUGGGGAGUACGCCGGCAACGGUGAAACUCAAAUGAAUUGACGG
This 918-nucleotide ribosomal RNA is filed under the name uncultured bacterium. RNAcentral's name for it is "bacterial SSU rRNA". It matches the Rfam family "Bacterial small subunit ribosomal RNA", at positions 8 to 916 of the family's 1533-position model. The record is from RNAcentral.